AGUGUUCGCAGCAGUGAAGGCAUGGCACCCCAGCAACAGGCUUUGUCCCUUGAGCAUGGUGCUUGCUCUUUCUGAGCAUCAACUAGGGUCACGUUAGAAGGCCCAGGCAGGAGAAAGCCGAACACGGCUGGCUGAGGGAGUGUCUGAUGACCACGCUGUGCGGAGGCUGCCAUCUGAACUGAGCAGAUGCUUCACUGAGCAGGCGAGAGCACAGGCUGAGGAUGAGUCCAUUGUAGAAUCGAUAGAAAGUAUCCAGAUUGAAGCUUUACUUUGUUCCUGAUCAAAUGUGAAAAAUAAAACAAGCAAGCAAAAUGCAGCACUGUCAUUCGGAUGUUUCCAUACAGAAACCCAUGCACACCUCAGAGCUGGGUUUACAUCGAGCUCUUGGUCAGUGCUGCUGAGUCGGCAGACAGUGAAGCUUGGCUGGCUGGAGAGAAUUCAACCAUGGACAAAACUUCGCCACCUUCAUUUCACAGAAAACCAGCGUGUGCCCCCACCCUCCCGUCCCAUAUUCCCUCUGACCAUCCACAAGAUCAAACUGCAGUUUCGUGUGGGGUGAGGACAUUUUCAUACACUGUUGUUUGGUGUGUUACAUGAUUUGCCUGGAAGCCAGCGUGUGCAAGGCCUGUCUUCACUGUGAACCACCCUCUUCUGCAAACUGCUGCUCAGGCUGUGUCUGCCACAUCAUUUUCUAUUAACUGAACAUGACUAUAACAAAGCAAACACCAACACUGUAUGAAUAACCAUGAAGGCACCAAGAUAAUACAUUUAAGUACUGUGGAGAAACGUGGGCAGAAGACUACCGUGGAUGUGACAAUGGGAAACAGCACGAAAAAGGAAAUUAACGCUCUUUUCUGUGUUUCCAGAAAAUGCCAAUGCCUAACUGGCUCAUGAGAGACACCACCGAGUGCCCCAGGUCUGUCUGUACACUCUCACUAAUUAUAGUAUUACGUUCUCUUGGCAUUAUAGACACUCAUUCCUCUUGUCUCCUGGCCUGCUUCGAUUCAGAAACAGGCAUAUAGAAUGUAUGUGCUUUGAGCCUUAUACAUUCGCGUCGAAAGAUUCGAAUCCAGAAACACUGCAUAUUCCCUUAGCAGGAGCUGAAACUAGAUUUAAGGGAUCACAAAUCACCAAUGUCACCAUCUAAGGUAAAGAUGAUUCUACAAUUGUCUCUGCUUAACAGAAUGGCUUGUCUACUCUCACUCUGCUGAUUAUUUACUCAACUCUAAGGUACACUUUUAUUUGUGUUUGAAUUGAUAAAGCAAGAUGCUGGAAGACCCCAGCGCCUGUGCUCAUUUCUAGUUGCUGCCUUAGUUUAAGGCACAAUUUCCUUUAUUUCACUUUUCCACAAGCCAUAAAAAAAACUCAUUUCUAAUUCAUCCGUUCGUUCAGCUUAACCUCUCUUCUCAGCAAUUAAAGCACUCUGCGCAUCCCUCAUCUAUCACACAGCCAGCUAAAUAAUGCAUUGCGUCCUCCGCUCAUCUUUUAUCAUCCCAAAUGACAGGUAUUAGCAUAUCUCCCCAGUCAAUUACAGUGCAGCAGAAUAAUCACAGCAUAAUUGGGCGAAAGCCACUCUAAUCACCAGCCCUGCAAAUGCUCAGAAUAAAAACUGAGUGGCAGUUCAGACAGGCCUUGCUCUUGUCCGUGACUCCAGCCAACAAGCCUGGCAGCUCUCCAUUUCCUUCCUUUCAGCGCUUACCCUUUGGGGAGGUCAAGUUCUCCAACGCAUCCUCUGUACAGAAGAAAAUGCGUGUGCGUUACACUGCAUACGGUAAACGUUUCCAUAGCUGAUCAGAAAGCAAAACCUAUUUCGUGAGAGUGAUGUCAGCAGGUGUUUUGGGUUCUGGCUGAGCUUAAUUUCUAUAAAGGUUAUUAUUGUCAGAAUUGCAGGCCUUUGAGUAUCCACACAGUAAAGAAAUACUUUUUUUCAUCUCAAA
RNAcentral lists this long non-coding RNA (1937 nucleotides) under Mus musculus (house mouse). RNAcentral's name for it is "predicted gene, 34854". The record is from RNAcentral. Lineage: Eukaryota; Metazoa; Chordata; Mammalia; Rodentia; Muridae.